GAUGAAGAACGUAGCGAAAUGCGAUAAGUAGUGUGAAUUGCAGAAUUCAGUGAAUCAUCGAAUCUUUGAACGCACAUUGCGCCCUUUGGUAAUCCUUAGGGCAUGCCUGUUCGAGCGUCAUUUAAACCUUCAAGCUAAGCUUGGUGUUGGGUGACUGUCCGCUUCACUGCGGACUCGCCUCAAAAUUAUUGGCGGCCGGUACAUUGGCUUCGAGCGCAGCAGAAACGCGAACUCGGGCCCGUCGUAUUGGCUCCCAGAAGCUAUCUUCACAAUUUUGACCUCGGAUCAGGUAGGGAUACCCGCUGAACUUAAGCAUAUCAAUAAGCGGAGGA
This 332-nucleotide unclassified non-coding RNA is filed under the name soil metagenome. RNAcentral describes it as "partial contains 5.8S ribosomal RNA, internal transcribed spacer 2, and large subunit ribosomal RNA". The stretch from base 1 to 120 matches the Rfam family "5.8S ribosomal RNA", at positions 35 to 154 of the family's 154-position model. The record is from RNAcentral.